UUUCCAGCUCCUGGAUACUUCUCCUGCUCCCACGUGACCUGUCGAAAGGGCCUCCUUCGGCGAUACUUCCAACUUUGGAGUGGAUUGAGUAACUGAAGCUUGUGAUACUGUACAUGCUUGAGUAAUUAUUGGAGCGUAAAGUCAGUGCUUAAGCAAACAAUGCUGGUGUCACAUUUUCCUGUCUGGAGGGCAGUUCAGACCAGUACUGACUGGAGACGAUGGACUGACUCCAGAUCAUAUAUCAGCCGCUGACAAUAGACACUGAAGGUGGAAAUGCAGCUAUUGAGGAUCUAAGGGGUUGCGCAGAAACAGAUGAAGCAGGAAGGAGUUGAAGGAGGGACUAGUUCUGUGGAAACAGGUGACUCAGUAAUUCCUCCAAUGGUAGUUCUGAAGCAGACACGGCAGCAAGCUCUGGCUCCUGGAUGGACAUGGCGGCAAGCUCUAGUCUAGCAAGUCCCAUAAUUCAGUGGACUCUGGCUCCAGGAUUGACAAUUCACAGAAAUUUGGCUUUGACUUGCAAUCUGUAACAGGCAUUUGAGCAGUCUCUGAGUCUGUGGUGGCUGGAGACAUCCUAGACCUCCCCUGUGCCAGCAAGACCUCAAAGUUGCAACAAGUCAUGUUGCAACUUUCCACCACUCUCCUGACUGCCACUGAGUCAGAAUAACAUUUUUGGUGUUCCUCUUCAACCUGGAAAAACCCAAUUCCACUGAACUGUUGAACCAUCAAGACUUUCAUCUGAGACUGCAUCCAGAAGCUCAUUGAACAGCCAAGGCAAUGCAAGUAUCAUACAUUUAAAUAAACUAAACAGCAGCAUAGUACUAAGCACUUGUCACAGACCCCUUUGUCCCAGAGGAGGUUAACUGGCUCCUUUUCUAUAGCUUCAUUCCCUAAUUUCUAUAAUGGCUUCAUUCAUUCAUUUUUACUUUUACAUUUUUACUACUUUUUUACAUUUGUAUAUACAGUAUGUAUGAGUGUGUGUAUAUGUUUGUUUAGACUAAUUAUUUAAUUGUGUUUUAG
Long non-coding RNA from Cyprinus carpio carpio, 1017 nucleotides. NCBI's taxonomy places the organism in Eukaryota, Metazoa, Chordata, Actinopteri, Cypriniformes, Cyprinidae. The record is from Ensembl.